RNAcentral lists this unclassified non-coding RNA (411 nucleotides) under fungal sp. RNAcentral describes it as "partial internal transcribed spacer region". The stretch from base 1 to 46 matches the Rfam family "Eukaryotic small subunit ribosomal RNA", at positions 1786 to 1831 of the family's 1831-position model. Lineage: Eukaryota; Fungi. The record is from RNAcentral.
AAGUCGUAACAAGGUUUCCGUAGGUGAACCUGCGGAAGGAUCAUUAACACGUAUCCACGUAUCAACCACUGUGAACUUGUUUUCAACCCUCCCUUCGCGGUACAUGAAUUGGAACUUCACUCGAGUAUUGUUUGGGAUCGAGCAAUCGAUCAGCGAGAGUGAACCAAAGAGGUCGAUCCUUAGCGAUCGCUUCGACAAUUGUAGUGCUUCGAAGGCAAGCCUUCUACCUAACGCUUCUCCAUUCAAGAGGCGGGUGGUGGAUAAAUACACACACUAAAACCUAUUUCACCCCCUUUUUGCUAGUUGACUUUUUUAAUGUUGUGAUCUCAUACGAUUCGUCGUACGUGACCGCACACGUUUAAUUACUUGAACGUUAAAAUACAACUCUUAGCAAUGGAUAUCUUGGUUCUC